GACGAACGCUGGCGGCGUGCCUAAUACAUGCAAGUCGAACGAACUCUGGUAUUGAUUGGUGCUUGCAUCAUGAUUUACAUUUGAGUGAGUGGCGAACUGGUGAGUAACACGUGGGAAACCUGCCCAGAAGCGGGGGAUAACACCUGGAAACAGAUGCUAAUACCGCAUAACAACUUGGACCGCAUGGUCCGAGUUUGAAAGAUGGCUUCGGCUAUCACUUUUGGAUGGUCCCGCGGCGUAUUAGCUAGAUGGUGGGGUAACGGCUCACCAUGGCAAUGAUACGUAGCCGACCUGAGAGGGUAAUCGGCCACAUUGGGACUGAGACACGGCCCAAACUCCUACGGGAGGCAGCAGUAGGGAAUCUUCCACAAUGGACGAAAGUCUGAUGGAGCAACGCCGCGUGAGUGAAGAAGGGUUUCGGCUCGUAAAACUCUGUUGUUAAAGAAGAACAUAUCUGAGAGUAACUGUUCGGGUAUUGACGGUAUUUAACCAGAAAGCCACGGCUAACUACGUGCCAGCAGCCGCGGUAAUACGUAGGUGGCAAGCGUUGUCCGGAUUUAUUGGGCGUAAAGCGAGCGCAGGCGGUUUUUUAAGUCUGAUGUGAAAGCCUUCGGCUCAACCGAAGAAGUGCAUCGGAAACUGGGAAACUUGAGUGCAGAAGAGGACAGUGGAACUCCAUGUGUAGCGGUGAAAUGCGUAGAUAUAUGGAAGAACACCAGUGGCGAAGGCGGCUGUCUGGUCUGUAACUGACGCUGAGGCUCGAAAGUAUGGGUAGCAAACAGGAUUAGAUACCCUGGUAGUCCAUACCGUAAACGAUGAAUGCUAAGUGUUGGAGGGUUUCCGCCCUUCAGUGCUGCAGCUAACGCAUUAAGCAUUCCGCCUGGGGAGUACGGCCGCAAGGCUGAAACUCAAAGGAAUUGACGGGGGCCCGCACAAGCGGUGGAGCAUGUGGUUUAAUUCGAAGCUACGCGAAGAACCUUACCAGGUCUUGACAUACUAUGCAAAUCUAAGAGAUUAGACGUUCCCUUCGGGGACAUGGAUACAGGUGGUGCAUGGUUGUCGUCAGCUCGUGUCGUGAGAUGUUGGGUUAAGUCCCGCAACGAGCGCAACCCUUAUUAUCAGUUGCCAGCAUUAAGUUGGGCACUCUGGUGAGACUGCCGGUGACAAACCGGAGGAAGGUGGGGAUGACGUCAAAUCAUCAUGCCCCUUAUGACCUGGGCUACACACGUGCUACAAUGGAUGGUACAACGAGUUGCGAACUCGCGAGAGUAAGCUAAUCUCUUAAAGCCAUUCUCAGUUCGGAUUGUAGGCUGCAACUCGCCUACAUGAAGUCGGAAUCGCUAGUAAUCGCGGAUCAGCAUGCCGCGGUGAAUACGUUCCCGGGCCUUGUACACACCGCCCGUCACACCAUGAGAGUUUGUAACACCCAAAGUCGGUGGGGUAACCUUUUAGGAACCAGCCGCCUAAGGUGGGACAGAUGAUUAGGGUG
Molecule: ribosomal RNA, 1489 nt
Filed under: Lactiplantibacillus plantarum
Lineage: Bacteria; Bacillati; Bacillota; Bacilli; Lactobacillales; Lactobacillaceae
Description: bacterial SSU rRNA
Rfam family: Bacterial small subunit ribosomal RNA
Source: RNAcentral